UUGUAAAACUGUAGUUUGUGGACAGUCACCAAGAAAAUGAUAUCGACUUCUGAGUUACGUUGCAUGACGGUUGAAAAUCAGAUAAAACAAAUAUUUUCUAGAUACAGUAUAUCGCACUACCCCGUGACGCCGUAGAGGUGACAGAUAACGAAACAAGUGGGUUUACACUAUUGAGUGGAUAAAGCCGACCCAUUAAGACUAAGGCCCGUAUUCUAUAGUUUAUGAGUGCAUAAAUACAUUUGUCAAUCCACGAUCGAUAUCAACCAAAACGGCCCAGAUUCAUUAUCAGUAGCAUUCCUCUAGUUCCCUUUACUGGUAGCUCCAAGUACUUUAUUCUACUACAAGUCUACAACAAAACACACUGAGAUACUUCUUGUCUUAUAUCUGUAUAUUUUUAAAUUAUGCAUAUGUGGGUUUGAUGGUACAACAAGUAAGUGGUAGAUCUGGCAAAACAUUGCUAGAGUUGAGUGGGAACAAUGCAAUCAUAGUCAUGGACGAUGCUGAUAUACAGUAACUGCUCGUUCUGUUCUUUUUGAUGCUGUUGGAACCUGAUGUAGGAACCUGAUGUAGCGCAUAUCAUUAAGCUUUGGUUUUCUAGUUUCCUUUUCUAUGUUAGUUGGUUUUUCCUUUUGCACGUAGAUUUUGGUUAUACUUCAUAGCCGACUAGGACCUUAUUCAUUAUAUAUAGUUUUUUAUCGGGUUUGUGAGAGAUACAACUUUUAAUUAUUGAUUUAGAAAAUUUAGAGUGUUGCGUUAAAUAAUUCUUGAAUUUUUAUUUUUGGGCAUUCUCUAAGAAUUCAAUAAACUAAAAAGGCUAAGUCAGGCAUUUUUAAAAUUCAACGUUACCUUCGCAUUAUCGGUUACUCCAUCAGAAACGCCGGCCAACGUUGCACAACUUGCCGUAGGCUGGUACUAAAGAAUCUGAUCCUCUACUGUUCCUUUUGCUGAAUGGUUUAAAAGUGUUUUUUUCUUUAUUGUCUUAAGCCUUUUGCAUGUGAGUGUGUAUGACAAAGUACUUGAGCAACUCCUUACUUCAUACAAACAAGUCAAGAUCGGUGAUCCUCUUCAAAAAGGGACGUUGUUAGGACCAUUACAUACUCCUGAAUCGAGGAAGAACUUUAAGAAAGGAAUCGAAGUCAUCAAAUCCCAGGCAAGUACCUCAAGUCCAAAGAGUUCUUUAAACAUUUUCAACUUUCAGCUAACCCUUUUGCAUUCACAGGGUGGUAAAGUACUAACCGGCGGUAAAGCAAUAGAAGGUGAAGGAAACUUUGUGGAGCCUACGAUACUUGAGAUAUCAUCAGAUGCUGUUCUUGUUAAAGAAGAGCUGUUUGCUCCGGUUCUAUAUGCUCUAAGGUUUAAGUCAUUUGAAGAAGCAAGUAGCGAUAAACAACUCGAUUCCUCAAGGUCUAAGCAGCUCCAUAUUCACACGUAAACCUAAAAACAUCUUUAAGUGGAUAGGACCAAUGGGAAGUGAUUGUGGGAUAGUGAAUGUGAACAUACCGACGAAUGGAGCUGAGAUAGGAGGUGAUUUUGGAGGUGAGAAAGCGACUGGUGGUGGUCGUGAAACUGGUAGUGACUCUUGGAAGCAAUAACGAUUUCUCUCUCUCUGUUUUGAUUUAAUAGAUUUUCCGGUUUAAGUUUUUUGAUUGGUUAAACCGGUUUAUCUUUUGACAGUACCUCUAGCGCAAGGAAUUGAUAGAGAUAGAUGACAUCAGAUUGCUGUCCGUUCUUGAUCAACGGCAAAGGUAGCCAAGAUUUUUAGCGGACGUCCGAGUUUCAAGCAGGUUGCUCAUAACACUUCUCACUGCCCAACAAUUGACAAACUUAUUAUAAUCCUUUGGUUAUAAUAACCCAUAGGCCAACAACAUAGAAUUGGCUUCUUUGGAACAAGGAAUAUGGCAUGGACAAACAAUACGUCUUGUUUCAAUCUCACACCAAUCUUAAGAUGCUGAUUCUUUGUAGAUGUGUAUACAAAUUUCUGUUUGUAGACCUCUUUGUGUACAUAAUAAACAAUAACUACCCAAGUGAAAGAUUUAUUUCUUUGUCAAUACUAUAAUAAUAGAGUUAUUCUUCCCACCUUUAAUAAACCAAACUUCUCUCAUCAGUUUCGUUUAAACAAGACCACCGUUCUGGUGGCCGGUGACUUUAGUCGCCGGUUACCAUCUCUUUUUGUUGUAUAAUAUCUUCGAUCAUUAGAUCGACUUAGUUUUCCGGUUAGCGGAUUUUCUUUUUCCGGUUGCGGAUCUUUUGCUCGCUUUGGCGAUUGUAUUAUAGUUUUUUUUCUGCUUCUCUUCUCUUUGUGAACUUCUAUUCCGAUCAACCAUGGAAGCUUUGAUUCUAUUUGCUGGUUAUGCUCUGUUUUAUUUUGAAAUAGGAAUCAAUCUUUGCUCUGACUCACAAGCAAAGUCUCCUUGUUGAUAAAGAACAGAGAUGAUAGUUGAAGCAGUGGGAAGAUUCAGCACAGAUUCAGAUAAGGCGGAGUCUGUAAAAGACGUUCCGAUAAGGAUUUGUUGCUAUCUCCUUGAAGCUUCUCUCAAAGUUCACCUCUGGUAAAUUGAAGAAGAACUUCCAGGGAUUGACGGUGAUCAAGAGUUGUAGAAGCAAGCAAGUGGAACAAACUAUCCGGAGAGAGAGACCGGUGGAUUCGUACCGACAUGUAGCCGGCGAACCAUGGAUCAAUCUCACCGUUUCCAGAAAAUUCGAAGUUCCUGCAUAUGCUACACGUGUCUUGCAUUAAGUUAAUAUUAUCUUCUUAGCUUGGGCUUCAUAUUGGGCUUAAUUUCAAUUUUGUAAGGGAAUGGUUUGUCUACUUGUAAUGGGUUUUCGUUUAAUAAAACGAAAUGG
Molecule: RNA transcript, 2844 nt
Organism: Brassica rapa (field mustard)
Lineage: Eukaryota; Viridiplantae; Streptophyta; Magnoliopsida; Brassicales; Brassicaceae
Gene name: aldehyde dehydrogenase family 7 member A1
Source: RefSeq, a predicted model, not a curated record